UACGUAGGGGGCAAGCGUUGUCCGGAAUCAUUGGGCGUAAAGCGCGUGUAGGCGGCUCGGUAAGUCCGCUCUGAAAGCCCACGGCUCAACCGUGGAGGGUCAUUGGAAACUGGGGGACUUGAGUGCAGAAGAGGAAAGCGGAAUUCCACGUGUAGCGGUGAAAUGCGUAGAGAUGUGGAGGAACACCAGUGGCGAAGGCGGCUUUCUGGUCUGUAACUGACGCUGAGGCGCGAAAGCGUGGGGAGCAAACAGG
This 253-nucleotide ribosomal RNA is filed under the name uncultured bacterium. RNAcentral describes it as "partial 16S ribosomal RNA". It matches the Rfam family "Bacterial small subunit ribosomal RNA", at positions 524 to 776 of the family's 1533-position model. The record is from RNAcentral.